RNAcentral lists this long non-coding RNA (200 nucleotides) under Salvator merianae (Argentine black and white tegu). RNAcentral describes it as "lncRNA (ENSSMRG00000020345.1)". The record is from RNAcentral. Lineage: Eukaryota; Metazoa; Chordata; Lepidosauria; Squamata; Teiidae.
CAGCAAUAGGAGUCUUGUGCCACAAACUUCUCGUUGAUCAGAUACAUAGAGUUGUAUGAGAAAUCUGAUGUUAUCAAGGAAGAUUGUUUAACACUCAAACAGUUCAUCUAUAGGACCAGCCUUAUGCACACAGAGGUAAGACACUGUUCCUGUACUCAGGAUCAACAGGCUGAAAACAGAAAUUUUAAGGGAGGAAUUCU